This 740-nucleotide ribosomal RNA is filed under the name uncultured Chloroflexota bacterium. RNAcentral describes it as "bacterial SSU rRNA". It matches the Rfam family "Bacterial small subunit ribosomal RNA", at positions 88 to 843 of the family's 1533-position model. Lineage: Bacteria; Bacillati; Chloroflexota. The record is from RNAcentral.
UAUCCUAGUGGCGAACGGGUGAGUAACGCGUUGGUGACCUACCCCAAAGUGUGGGAUAACAGUCCGAAAGGAUUGCUAAUACCACAUGUGGUCUCUGGAUUUAGAAACCGGUGACUAAAGGAGCAAUUCGCUUUGGGAGGGACCUGCGUCCCAUCAGCUAGUUGGUGAGGUAACGGCUCACCAAGGCGACGACGGGUAGGGGACCUGAGAGGGUGGCCCCCCACAAUGGAACUGAAACACGGUCCAUACACCUACGGGUGGCAGCAGUAGGGAAUAUUGGUCAAUGGGCGAAAGCCUGAACCAGCAACGCCGCGUGUGCGAUGAAGGCCUUCGGGUCGUAAAGCACUUUUCUGGGAGAUGAGAAAGGACAGUAUCCCAGGAAUAAGUCUCGGCUAACUACGUGCCAGCAGCCGCGGUAAAACGUAGGAGGCGAGCGUUAUCCGGAUUCACUGGGCGUAAAGCGCGUGCAGGUGGCUUGGUAAGUUAGGCGUGAAAUCUCCCGGCUCAACUGGGAGAGGUCGUCUAAUACUACCGGGCUUGAGAGCAGAAGAGGAUGAUGGAAUUCCCGGUGUAGUGGUGAAAUGCGUAGAUAUCGGGAGGAACACCAGUGGCGAAGGCGAUCUUCUGGUCUGUUUCUGACACUCAGACGCGACAGCUAGGGUAGUAAACGGGAUUAGAGACCCCGGUAAUCCUAGCCGUAAACGAUGUAAACUUGGCGUUGGUGGGUUAAACUCCAUCAG